This 631-nucleotide ribosomal RNA is filed under the name Escherichia coli. RNAcentral's name for it is "partial 23S ribosomal RNA". It matches the Rfam family "Bacterial large subunit ribosomal RNA", at positions 608 to 1239 of the family's 2925-position model. The record is from RNAcentral. Lineage: Bacteria; Pseudomonadati; Pseudomonadota; Gammaproteobacteria; Enterobacterales; Enterobacteriaceae.
UUGUAUAAUGGGUCAGCGACUUAUAUUCUGUAGCAAGGUUAACCGAAUAGGGGAGCCGAAGGGAAACCGAGUCUUAACUGGGCGUUAAGUUGCAGGGUAUAGACCCGAAACCCGGUGAUCUAGCCAUGGGCAGGUUGAAGGUUGGGUAACACUAACUGGAGGACCGAACCGACUAAUGUUGAAAAAUUAGCGGAUGACUUGUGGCUGGGGGUGAAAGGCCAAUCAAACCGGGAGAUAGCUGGUUCUCCCCGAAAGCUAUUUAGGUAGCGCCUCGUGAAUUCAUCUCCGGGGGUAGAGCACUGUUUCGGCAAGGGGGUCAUCCCGACUUACCAACCCGAUGCAAACUGCGAAUACCGGAGAAUGUUAUCACGGGAGACACACGGCGGGUGCUAACGUCCGUCGUGAAGAGGGAAACAACCCAGACCGCCAGCUAAGGUCCCAAAGUCAUGGUUAAGUGGGAAACGAUGUGGGAAGGCCCAGACAGCCAGGAUGUUGGCUUAGAAGCAGCCAUCAUUUAAAGAAAGCGUAAUAGCUCACUGGUCGAGUCGGCCUGCGCGGAAGAUGUAACGGGGCUAAACCAUGCACCGAAGCUGCGGCAGCGACGCUUAUGCGUUGUUGGGUAGGGGAGCGU